RNAcentral lists this ribosomal RNA (395 nucleotides) under uncultured bacterium. RNAcentral describes it as "bacterial SSU rRNA". It matches the Rfam family "Bacterial small subunit ribosomal RNA", at positions 365 to 758 of the family's 1533-position model. The record is from RNAcentral.
UGACAUGGGGGCACCCUGACCGCAAUGCCGCGUGAGUGAAGAAGGCCUUCGGGUUGUAAAGCUCUUUUGUCAGGGAAGAAACACCGGCUCUAACACAGUCCGGGAAUGACGGUACCUGAAGAGUAAGCACCGGCUAACUACGUGCCAGCAGCCGCGGUAAUACGUAGGGUGCGAGCGUUAAUCGGAAUUACUGGGCGUAAAGCGUGCGCAGGCGGUUAUACAAGACAGGCGUGAAAUCCCCGGGCUUAACCUGGGAAUGGCGCCUGUGACUGUAUAGCUAGAGUGUGUCAGAGGGGGGUAGAAUCCCACGUGUAGCAGUGAAAUGCGUAGAUAUGUGGAGGAAUACCAAUGGCGAAGGCAGCCCCCUGGGAUAACACUGACGCUCAUGCACGAAA